This 82-nucleotide unclassified non-coding RNA is filed under the name Arenibacter nanhaiticus. Its description in RNAcentral is "Flavo-1 RNA". Lineage: Bacteria; Pseudomonadati; Bacteroidota; Flavobacteriia; Flavobacteriales; Flavobacteriaceae. The record is from RNAcentral.
UUUUUGCGUUAAGGAUUGGAGUGAAAAGCCCACAGUAUUGCCCUAGCAAUACGAGGACUUGCAGCGGAAAGCCUGACGGCCC